UACAGAGGGUGCGAGCGUUAAUCGGAAUUACUGGGCGUAAAGCGCGCGUAGGUGGUUUUGCAAGUCGAGUGUGAAAGCCCCGGGCUCAACCUGGGAACUGCAUUCGAGACUGCAUUACUCGAGUAUGGGAGAGGGCAGUGGAAUUUCGGGUGUAGCGGUGAAAUGCGUAGAUAUCCGAAGGAACAUCAGUGGCGAAAGCGACUGCCUGGCCCAAUACUGACACUCAAGUGCGAAAGCGUGGGGAGCAAACAGG
RNAcentral lists this ribosomal RNA (253 nucleotides) under uncultured bacterium. Its description in RNAcentral is "partial 16S ribosomal RNA". It matches the Rfam family "Bacterial small subunit ribosomal RNA", at positions 524 to 776 of the family's 1533-position model. The record is from RNAcentral. RNAcentral also lists the same sequence under 1 other name.